Molecule: long non-coding RNA, 1192 nt
Filed under: Sarcophilus harrisii (Tasmanian devil)
Lineage: Eukaryota; Metazoa; Chordata; Mammalia; Dasyuromorphia; Dasyuridae
Description: lncRNA (ENSSHAG00000031343.1)
Source: RNAcentral
UGGACUUGUUUGCUUCUGAAAUUACUUCUAACUGAAAUUCUAUGGUAAUUUUGAUCUUACUUUUUUUUUUUUUUUAACAGUGUGCUUUAAAAAAGCUGUCCUGGCUUUGUCUAUCUAUAUAUAUCAUCUUGCAGUGAUCUAUAAGGCAAGAUCAUUCUUAAAAAUGCUUCACAGAAACUGGGACUAGGAAUCUGAAUAUACCUUGUUUAUGUUUAUCUUAAAGGUAAAUAAAAAUACCAAACUGCAAUAAUGUGGGUCAUGUUUUGGAAAAUGAAAAGAAUUUUGAGAGUCUUAAAAUACUUCCUAACAAACAACACAUGUUCAGCCAGGUUGAGGCAUCCAGUUCCAGCUGUUUCUCCAGCAGACCUGUUUCCAUCAUUCUAGACAACUUUUUAAAAACACGAAUGGUUCUCCCAGUAAGACUAUUUUGUUUUAUUCUCUAAUGACUGUUUUGUGGUGCUCUAAGUGCUUGUGUUGAAUCUUUGAAUCCUGCUAUAAAGUUCUAUUGGGAUGUAUGUGAUUCUUUACCUUCAUGAAGACAUAAAGCAGUGAAUUCUCUUUGCUUUUGCUCAUCUAUUCCAAACCUGAACCUCCUCUGAAUUUCAUUUUCAGUUGCUAACUUAAUUCUGGCAUCGGUCAAAAUGAAUUUCUCUUCUCACUGAACCAAGGGUCUUUGGACCUCUCCAUCUCACAAAGUCGCCUGAAAUCUUAGACAUGUCUAUCAUGGGAUACUCCAUGACCAAAGAUCAGGACCAAACAAAUAGUAAAGAGUCAAAGGUGACUGGGGGCCUUGCCUAACUUAGGCCAAUUUUCAUUAGUUGGUUCAUGGGAGACACCAUGAUAUCAGGACAAAGAAGGGCCAAUCCUUCUUCACGUAUAAGUACAGUAACAUAAUGAUACCCAGGGAGUUGAAGCUAAGACAGACCAAGCUAGAAGCUCUUUCUUCUGCAAUUAGCUCACUUCUCUGCCACUGUCACAAUAUGAGAGUAUGAACAAGAAAACACAAAUUUAUUACAUUAUACUAAAACAUAAAAUCCUUUUCACUCUUGAGUCUUUUCAUGACUGAAGACAGGUAAGAAAUGUGUUAUCUCCAAGAGAUCUACAAUAUGAAUUCUUGAAAUUUCUGCAAGUUUUCAGAUCUCAGGGAACACAUUCCCUGGGAUAGUCUCAAUUCUCAAUGCACAACAACAAC